This is a small RNA of 339 nucleotides. It matches the Rfam family "5' ureB small RNA".
CUACGAGCUCAGGAGAGAUGUAGUGGACGUGUGUAUCGAUGGCACCUGCAGUGAUGAUGAGCUUUUCACCAGCGAUUACCUCAGUGGAAGAGCCGAUCACAAGCGCUGGAUGGACGUUGGCCAUUACAUCAGGAUUUCCGGAUUUCCCGAUGCCCACGAUAACCCCGUUUUUGACUCCAAUAUCAGCCUGGUAUUCGAAGGAUUAGCCAUGUAGUGAUGAACACCAUAAAUUUACCCUGUAUAUUCCAGACCAGUCGAUGAUGAGAGCGUUGGUAAUGACGAGAUCUAAAGCCUCUUCGGAUGAUCGAUUGGUCGCCUGUCCCAUUCCAUCUCGGAUAG